This 442-nucleotide ribosomal RNA is filed under the name uncultured bacterium. RNAcentral's name for it is "partial 16S ribosomal RNA". It matches the Rfam family "Bacterial small subunit ribosomal RNA", at positions 338 to 795 of the family's 1533-position model. The record is from RNAcentral.
CCUACGGGUGGCAGCAGUGGGGGAUAUUGCACAAUGGGGGCAACCCUGAUGCAGCGACGCCGCGUGGGCGAAGAAGUAUUUCGGUUUGUAAAGCUCUAUCAGCAGGGAAGAAGGAAUGACGGUACCUGAGUAAGAAGCACCGGCGAAAUACGUGCCAGCAGCCGCGGUAAUACGGAUGGUGCAAGCGCUAUCCGGCUUUACUGGGAGUAAAGGGAGCGCAGGCGGCACGGCAAGUCUGAUGCGAAAGCCCGCGGCCUAACCGCGGGACUGCAUUGGGAACUACCGGGCUGGAGUGCCGGAGAGGUAGGCGGAAUUCCUAGUGUAGCGGUGGAAUGCGUAGAUAUUAGGAGGAACACCAGUGGCGAAGGCGGCCGUCUGGUCGGUGACUGACGCUGAGGCUCGAAAGCAUGGGGAGCGAACAGGAUUAGAUACCCCGGUAGUC